GGGGAAUUUUGGACAAUGGGGGCAACCCUGAUCCAGCCAUGCCGCGUGCGGGAAGAAGGCCUUCGGGUUGUAAACCGCUUUUGUCCGGAAAGAAAAGGCGCCUCCUAAUACGGGGCGUUCUUGACGGUACCGGAAGAAUAAGCACCGGCUAACUACGUGCCAGCAGCCGCGGUAAUACGUAGGGUGCGAGCGUUAAUCGGAAUUACUGGGCGUAAAGCGUGCGCAGGCGGUCCGCAAAGUCUGAUGUGAAAGCCCCGGGCUCAACCUGGGAACUGCAUUGGAAACUAACGGGCUCGAGUGUGGCAGAGGGGGGUGGAAUUCCACGUGUAGCAGUGAAAUGCGUAGAGAUGUGGAGGAACACCGAUGGCGAAGGCAGCCCCCUGGGCUAACACUGACGCUCAGGCACGAAAGCGUGGGGAGCAAAC
This 425-nucleotide ribosomal RNA is filed under the name uncultured bacterium. RNAcentral's name for it is "bacterial SSU rRNA". It matches the Rfam family "Bacterial small subunit ribosomal RNA", at positions 356 to 773 of the family's 1533-position model. The record is from RNAcentral.